CGGCGUGCCUAACACAUGCAAGUCGUACGAGAAAGGGUCCUUCGGGACCUGAGUAGAGUGGCGCACGGGUGAGUAACGCGUGGAUAAUCUGCCCUUCAGCUGGGAAUAACUCAUCGAAAGGUGGGCUAAUACCGAAUAACGCUGUGAGACCUUGGUCGAUCAGCCAAAGAGAGCCUCUGCUUGCAUGCCCUCGCUGAAGGAUGAGUCCGCGUACCAUUAGCUAGUUGGUAGGGUAAUGGCCUACCAAGGCGACGAUGGUUAGCUGGUCUGAGAGGAUGAUCAGCCACACUGGAACUGAGACACGGUCCAGACUCCUACGGGAGGCAGCAGUGAGGAAUCUUGCGCAAUGGGGGAAACCCUGACGCAGCAACGCCGCGUGAGUGAGGAAGGUUCCUUCGGAUCGUAAAGCUCUGUCAGAUGGAAAGAACCGCAUGGGGGUUAACAGCCCCUGUGUCUGACGGUACCAUCAGAGGAAGCACCGGCUAACUCCGUGCCAGCAGCGGC
Molecule: ribosomal RNA, 504 nt
Filed under: uncultured bacterium
Lineage: Bacteria
Description: bacterial SSU rRNA
Rfam family: Bacterial small subunit ribosomal RNA
Source: RNAcentral